RNAcentral lists this ribosomal RNA (492 nucleotides) under uncultured bacterium. Its description in RNAcentral is "partial 16S ribosomal RNA". It matches the Rfam family "Bacterial small subunit ribosomal RNA", at positions 29 to 508 of the family's 1533-position model. The record is from RNAcentral.
AGUGAACGCUGGCGGUAGGCCUAACACAUGCAAGUCGAACGGCAGCACAGUAAGAGCUUGCUCUUACGGGUGGCGAGUGGCGGACGGGUGAGGAAUACAUCGGAAUCUACUUUUUCGUGGGGGAUAACGUAGGGAAACUUACGCUAAUACCGCAUACGACCUACGGGUGAAAGCAGGGGAUCUUCGGACCUUGCGCGAUUGAAUGAGCCGAUGUCGGAUUAGCUAGUUGGCGGGGUAAAGGCCCACCAAGGCGACGAUCCGUAGCUGGUCUGAGAGGAUGGUGGGCCACAGUGGAGUGGAGACAGGGCCCAGACUCCUCGGGGAGGCACGGGGGGGGAAUUGUGGAAAAUGGGCGCAAGCUUGACCCAGCCAUCCGGGGGGGGGAAAGAGGGCCUUGGGUUUUUAAGCCCUUUUGGCUGGAAAAAAAAAGCAGCGGGUAAAUCCCCCGUUGUCCUGACGGUACCCAAAAAAUAAGCACCGGCAAACUUGGGC